ACGAACGCUGGCGGCGUGCUUAACACCUGCAAGUCGCACGGAAAGGCCCUGCUUUUGUGGGGUGCUCGAGUGGCGAACGGGUGAGUAACACGUGAGUAACCUGCCCUUGACUUUGGGAUAACUUCAGGAAACUGGGGCUAAUACCGGAUAGGAGCUCCUGCUGCAUGGUGGGGGUUGGAAAGUUUCGGCGGUUGGGGAUGGACUCGCGGCUUAUCAGCUUGUUGGUGGGGUAGUGGCUUACCAAGGCUUUGACGGGUAGCCGGCCUGGGAGGGUGACCGGCCACAUUGGGACUGAGAUACGGCCCAGACUCCUACGGGGGGCAGCAGUGGGGAAUAUUGCACAAUGGGCGGAAGCCUGAUGCAGCAACGCCGCGUGCGGGAUGACGGCCUUCGGGUUGUAAACCGCUUUCGCCUGUGACGAAGCGUGAGUGACGGUAAUGGGUAAAGAAGCACCGGCUAACUACGUG
This 467-nucleotide ribosomal RNA is filed under the name uncultured bacterium. Its description in RNAcentral is "partial 16S ribosomal RNA". It matches the Rfam family "Bacterial small subunit ribosomal RNA", at positions 29 to 507 of the family's 1533-position model. The record is from RNAcentral.